AUAGAAUCAAUAUCUUUGUUCUGUGAGAAUGGAUGUCAUACAAAAAGGAAAAUUGUUCUCACCAGGGAGUCCUUUAGGUCCUAUGCUGACUUGCAACGACCCGUCUCUAACCACCACAGCAAUUCACUGUCAUUAUACAGUUCUGGGGAUCUGGGGACUGAACCAGAUCCUACAGCAUGCUAGAUAAGCGUCCUACCACUGAGCUACACCCCCAGCUCCCAAAGACCCUAACUCAAAGCCAUUGCAUUGAGGGUUAGGGUUUCAAGAUACAAAUUUUGAGGAGACACAUUCAGUCCACAACAGAGACACAGAGGAAGGAGUUAAAGUGAGAAGAGCACUUGCAUUGCGGCAGACAACAUGCUAAGGGUUAUGCAGAGGUUGUUGAUGCAUUUGUCAUAGUGUGGCUAUUGGCUUGGAGUGAUCCCUUUACAACAAAAUUGA
Molecule: non-coding RNA, 441 nt
Organism: Heterocephalus glaber (naked mole-rat)
Lineage: Eukaryota; Metazoa; Chordata; Mammalia; Rodentia; Bathyergidae
Source: RefSeq, a predicted model, not a curated record